GCCAGCCAUGGUGGUGCGUGCCUGUAAUUCCAGCAGCUUGGGAGGCUGAGGCAGGAGGAUCACAAGUUUAAGCAUAGCUUUAGCAAUUUAGCAAGACCCUGUCUCAA
RNAcentral lists this small RNA (107 nucleotides) under Marmota monax (woodchuck). The record is from RNAcentral. Lineage: Eukaryota; Metazoa; Chordata; Mammalia; Rodentia; Sciuridae.